AGAGCGAACGCUGGCGGCAGGCCUAAUACAUGCAAGUCGAACGGAUCCUUCGGGAUUAGUGGCGGACGGGUGAGUAACACGUGGGAACGUGCCCUUUGGUUCGGAACAACUCAGGGAAACUUGAGCUAAUACCGAAUGUGCCCUUCGGGGGAAAGAUUUAUCGCCAUUGGAGCGGCCCGCGUCUGAUUAGCUAGUUGGUGAGGUAAAGGCCCACCAAGGCUACGAUCAGUAGCUGGUCUGAGAGGAUGAUCAGCCACACUGGGACUGAGACACGGCCCAGACUCCUACGGGAGGCAGCAGUAGGGAAUCUUGCGCAAUGGGCGAAAGCCUGACGCAGCCAUGCCGCGUGAAUGAUGAAGGUCUUAGGAUUGUAAAAUUCUUUCAGCGGGGACGAUAAUGACGGUACCGCAGAAGAGCCCCGGCUAACUUCGCGCCAGCAGCCGC
RNAcentral lists this ribosomal RNA (444 nucleotides) under uncultured bacterium. RNAcentral describes it as "SSU rRNA". It matches the Rfam family "Bacterial small subunit ribosomal RNA", at positions 26 to 518 of the family's 1533-position model. The record is from RNAcentral.